Molecule: ribosomal RNA, 288 nt
Filed under: uncultured prokaryote
Description: partial 16S ribosomal RNA
Rfam family: Bacterial small subunit ribosomal RNA
Source: RNAcentral
UGGGGAAUAUUGGGCAAUGGAGGCAACUCUGACCCAGCAACGCCGCGUGAGGGAAGAAGGUUUUCGGAUUGUAAACCUCUGUCCUAGGGGACGAAGAAAGUGACGGUACCAUAGGAGGCAGCCCCGGCUAACUACGUGCCAGCAGCCGCGGGAAUACGUGGGGGGCAAGAGUUGUCCGGAAUUACUGGGCGUAAAGGGUGCGUAGGCGGUAUGGUAAGUUAGAUGUGAAAUCCCCGGGCUUAACUCGGGAUUUGCAUUUAAAACUGUCAGACUAGAGUGCAGUAGAGG